This 468-nucleotide ribosomal RNA is filed under the name uncultured bacterium. RNAcentral's name for it is "partial 16S ribosomal RNA". It matches the Rfam family "Bacterial small subunit ribosomal RNA", at positions 28 to 507 of the family's 1533-position model. The record is from RNAcentral.
GACGAACGCUGGCGGCGUGCUUAAUACAUGCAAGUCGAACGGACAGGCCCUGAUCUUGCGGGGUGCUUGAGUGGCGCACGGGUGAGUAAAACGCGAGUAACCUGUCCCUGUCUUUGGGAUAACUUCAGGAAACUGGGGCUCUUAUCGGAUAGGAGCUUUUGCUGCACGGUGGGGGUUGGUAAGUUUCGGCGGUAGGGGAUGGACUCGAGGCUUAUCAGCUUGUUGGUGAAGUAGUGGCUUACCAAGGCUUUGACGGGUAGCCGGCCUGAGAGGGUGACCGGCCACAUUGGUACUGAGAGACGGCCCAGAAUCCUACGUGAGGCAGAAGGCGGAAGUAUUGCACAAUAAGCGGAAGCCUGAUACAGCAACGCCGCGAUCGGGAUAACGGCCUACGAGUGAUAAACCGCUGUCGCCGGUAACGAGGCGUGAGUGACGGUAAUGGGUAAGGAAGCACCGGCUAACUACGUG